RNAcentral lists this ribosomal RNA (409 nucleotides) under uncultured Actinomycetes bacterium. RNAcentral's name for it is "bacterial SSU rRNA". It matches the Rfam family "Bacterial small subunit ribosomal RNA", at positions 355 to 776 of the family's 1533-position model. Lineage: Bacteria; Bacillati; Actinomycetota; Actinomycetes. The record is from RNAcentral.
UGGGGAAUCUUGCACAAUGGGCGAAAGCCUGAUGCAGCGACGCCGCGUGGGGGACGAAUGCCUUCGGGUUGUAAACCCCUUUCGGCAGGGAAGAAGCGCAAGUGACGGUACCUGCAGAAGAAGCUCCGGCUAACUACGUGCCAGCAGCCGCGGUAAGACGUAGGGAGCGAGCGUUGUCCGGAUUCAUUGGGCGUAAAGCGCGCGUAGGCGGUUUGGUAAGUCGGAUGUGAAAUCCCGAGGCUCAACCUCGUGACUGCAUCCGAUACUGCCCGACUAGAGGUAGGUAGGGGAGAUCGGAAUUCCUGGUGUAGCGGUGAAAUGCGCAGAUAUCAGGAGGAACACCGGUGGCGAAGGCGGAUCUCUGGGCCUUACCUGACGCUGAGGCGCGAAAGCUAGGGGAGCGAACAGG